GAUGAACGCUGGCGGCGUGCCUAAUACAUGCAAGUCGAGCGAACGGACGAUAAGCUUGCUUUUCUGAUGUUAGCGGCGGACGUGUGAGUAACACGUGUAUAACCUACCUAUAAUACUGGUAUAACUUCGGGAAACCGGAUCUAAUACCGUAUAAUAUUUUGAACCGCAUGGUUCAUAAGUGAAAGACGGUCUUGCUGUCACUUAUAGAUGGAUCCGCGCUGCAUUAGCUAGUUGGUAAGGUAACGGCUUACCAAGGCAACGAUGCAUAGCCGACCUGAGAGGGUGAUCGGCGACACUGGAAGUGAGACACGGUCCAGACUACUACGGGAGGCAGCAGUAGGGAAUAUUCCGCAAUGGGCGAAAGCAUGACGGAGCAACGCCGCGUGAGUGAUGAAGGUCUUCGGAUCGUAAAACUCUGUUAUUAGGGAAGAAAAGAUGUGUAAGUAAAUGUGCACAUCUUGACGGUACCGAAUAAGAAAGCAACGGCUAACUACGUG
Molecule: ribosomal RNA, 497 nt
Filed under: uncultured bacterium
Lineage: Bacteria
Description: partial 16S ribosomal RNA
Rfam family: Bacterial small subunit ribosomal RNA
Source: RNAcentral